This 716-nucleotide ribosomal RNA is filed under the name Carnobacterium sp. MYb232. RNAcentral's name for it is "bacterial SSU rRNA". It matches the Rfam family "Bacterial small subunit ribosomal RNA", at positions 72 to 771 of the family's 1533-position model. The record is from RNAcentral. Lineage: Bacteria; Bacillati; Bacillota; Bacilli; Lactobacillales; Carnobacteriaceae.
UGAAGAGCUUGCUCUUUAACCAGUGAGUGGCGGACGGGUGAGUAACACGUGGGUAACCUGCCCAUUAGAGGGGGAUAACAUUCGGAAACGGAUGCUAAUACCGCAUAGUUUCAGGAAUCGCAUGAUUCUUGAAGGAAAGGUGGCUUCGGCUACCACUAAUGGAUGGACCCGCGGCGUAUUAGCUAGUUGGUGAGGUAAUGGCUCACCAAGGCAAUGAUACGUAGCCGACCUGAGAGGGUGAUCGGCCACACUGGGACUGAGACACGGCCCAGACUCCUACGGGAGGCAGCAGUAGGGAAUCUUCCGCAAUGGACGAAAGUCUGACGGAGCAACGCCGCGUGAGUGAAGAAGGUUUUCGGAUCGUAAAACUCUGUUGUUAAAGAAGAACAAGGAUGAGAGUAACUGCUCAUCCCCUGACGGUAUUUAACCAGAAAGCCACGGCUAACUACGUGCCAGCAGCCGCGGUAAUACGUAGGUGGCAAGCGUUGUCCGGAUUUAUUGGGCGUAAAGCGAGCGCAGGCGGUUCUUUAAGUCUGAUGUGAAAGCCCCCGGCUCAACCGGGGAGGGUCAUUGGAAACUGGAGAACUUGAGUGCAGAAGAGGAGAGUGGAAUUCCACGUGUAGCGGUGAAAUGCGUAGAUAUGUGGAGGAACACCAGUGGCGAAGGCGACUCUCUGGUCUGUAACUGACGCUGAGGCUCGAAAGCGUGGGGAGCAA